GCGCGAAAACUUUACAAUGCUGGCAACAGCGAUAAGGGAACCUCGAGUGCCAGGUUACAAAUCUGGCUGUCGAGAUGCCUAAAAAGCAUUUCAUAGCAAGGGCCGGGCAAGACCGGUGCCAGCCGCCGCGGUAACACCGGCGGCUCGAGUGGUAACCGCUAUUAUUGGGUCUAAAGGGUCUGUAGCCGGCCGGAUAAGUCUCUUGAGAAAUCUGGCAGCUUAACUGUCAGGCUUUCAGGAGAUACUGUCUGGCUCGAGGCCGGGAGAGGGAGGGGGGACGUCAGGGGUAGGGGGGAAAUCUUGUAAUCCUUGAAGGGAGACCAGUGGCGAAGGCGGCUCGCCAGAACGGACCUGACGGCAAGGGACGAAAGCUAGGGG
This 378-nucleotide ribosomal RNA is filed under the name uncultured bacterium. Its description in RNAcentral is "bacterial SSU rRNA". It matches the Rfam family "Archaeal small subunit ribosomal RNA", at positions 339 to 717 of the family's 1478-position model. The record is from RNAcentral.